GGAUAUAGCUCAGUUGGUAGAGUGUUUUCCUUGUAUGCACAAGACCCUAGGUUCAAUCCCCAGCACCA
Molecule: transfer RNA, 68 nt
Filed under: Marmota monax (woodchuck)
Lineage: Eukaryota; Metazoa; Chordata; Mammalia; Rodentia; Sciuridae
Description: tRNA.Thr
Source: RNAcentral